Long non-coding RNA from Felis catus (domestic cat), 1519 nucleotides. RefSeq lists it as uncharacterized. The transcript is spliced from 2 exons. The record is from RefSeq and is a predicted model, not a curated record. NCBI's taxonomy places the organism in Eukaryota, Metazoa, Chordata, Mammalia, Carnivora, Felidae.
UCACUGCUGACCUCAUCGGAAGAGUCUUUAAAUACAGGGAAGCUGUAGUGGUGAUAAGCUUAGCAAAAUUCUAAGUUGCGUUGGGAAGUUCAAGUUUCGUCACUUGAAAUACUGUCAGCGGUUUUCUUGAAAGUGACAAGUGACUGGCUCACUUUGUUCAUUUUCUAGGAAAAUGUUGGCUAGAUACUCACGUCUAAAUAGCCACAGUGGUAACAGAAGCCAUUCUUUCCAGGAAAAAAAAUGGCAUUCCACGAACGGAUUCCGCCUGCAACUCAAGCACACAGGUGCCUUCCUUCAAGACAUCCAUGGGAGCAAAUCCUACUUCAGUAGGCGGAAGUGCUUUGUCCCACACCGUCAUGGAGAGUUGAAGACUGUGUACUAAAGAGCCAAUUCUAAUGAAAGCAAUACUAUCUCCUGUUUCACCGAACACAAUAUUAAGUAGGACAAGCGUCUGCUUGUUUUCACUUUAUGCGCGUGAUGGUGGUGAGCUCACUGAGUCCCAGCCCGGUUUGGAGCUACGGCCACGAUUUGCGCCCAGAGGCUACGCCAGCGAAUACGGUGUUUAUCCUGUCUAAGGAGUCGCUUUUGCGCCAGGGGCGCAAUGCUGAUGUGGUGGUUCCAGGAAGAAUCAACGGACUUUUGAAAAGGGCAAACAUCCUGCUUCAGAGAACUGUUCUCAGAUUCAGCUAAUGAUCUGCAGAAGAACACCACCAUAGUUCUAACCUGAAAACAGGACUCCACAGCUUGACCAAUUACCUGAACCACAACACUUGAGUCCAAAGGAUUUUGGCUGCUUCCAAAAGUCCAAUCAACCCUUAAAGCUACCAGUGAGACUAUUCAGACGAGCAUGAAGUGAGCUCUGAGGUCAAUGCCAAAUGCUUUGGACAAUGGCAGGAUCCCUGGGCAGAGGCCAAUUUACCAUGAAGCUAAUAAAGCUUAAGCUUCUGGGCCCCUUUUGAGGCCCUGAGAGGGGUCCUAGCAAUGUGUUCACAUAUUUGCCUUUUUGUUGCAAAAUUUGCACAAGUAAGUCUCAAUGAGUCAACUUCUCACCCUAUUUCAGCUUCUCCUCUGCUAUAUUUCCCCCCGCCUGUUGCAUGGGGUUGGAGUCAUCCAAGGCAGUUGAGUUAGAGAUACGUUUAAUCUGAAUUUAGUGAGAUAGAUUUAUGAGGAUCAAAGUCACUUCUGUGUUUGGUCACUUUAUUGCUGGCUAUCUCGGUAUAGGAAUGGCUUCCAGGUACACACCUCCAGCCCACUGGGCUGGUCCAUCUGGCAUCAUGACACAAAACGGCAGGGCCAGACGUUGACUCUCGCUAUGAAAGUACUCGUGCUUGGCACGGGAAAUCUCUGGGCAGUGGAGGAGGGGAAACGAGUUUUAAACUGUGCCCAGCCAGAGGCUGGUCUGUGAAAUGGGGAAGAAUACAUUGUGAGGUUAUAAUAAAGAUGAAACAAAAUAAAGUGUGUUAGAAGUGUUAGCCAGUGUCUAGCAUUGGUUGGUAAAUAAAGGUACUGUUAUUUCUUA